This 440-nucleotide ribosomal RNA is filed under the name Enterococcus faecium. RNAcentral's name for it is "bacterial SSU rRNA". It matches the Rfam family "Bacterial small subunit ribosomal RNA", at positions 1066 to 1508 of the family's 1533-position model. The record is from RNAcentral. Lineage: Bacteria; Bacillati; Bacillota; Bacilli; Lactobacillales; Enterococcaceae.
CGUGAGAUGUUGGGUUAAGUCCCGCAACGAGCGCAACCCUUAUUGUUAGUUGCCAUCAUUCAGUUGGGCACUUUAGCAAGACUGCCGGUGACAAACCGGAGGAAGGUGGGGAUGACGUCAAAUCAUCAUGCCCCUUAUGACCUGGGGUACACACGCGCUCCAAUGGGAAGUACAACGAGUUCCGAAGUCGCGCGGCUAACCUAAUCUCUUAAAGCUUCUCUCAGUUCGGAUUGCAGGCUGCAACUUGCCUGCAUGAAGCCGGAAUCGCUAGUAAUCGCGGAUCAGCACGCCGCGGUGAAUACGUUCCCGGGCCUUGUACACACCGCCCGUCACACCACGAGAGUUUGUAACACCCGAAGUCGGUGAGGUAACCUUUUUGGAGCCAGCCGCCUAAGGUGGGAUAGAUGAUUGGGGUGAAGUCGUAACAAGAGCCCUAAGGG